This 548-nucleotide long non-coding RNA is filed under the name Phasianus colchicus (ring-necked pheasant). RNAcentral describes it as "lncRNA (ENSPCLG00000004904.1)". Lineage: Eukaryota; Metazoa; Chordata; Aves; Galliformes; Phasianidae. The record is from RNAcentral.
GGCCUGCUUGGUUGUAUCUUGUCAAUGGUUUCUUUCCAGCCCAGUCUCAUGAAUGUACGUACCUUGGACUCCUGCUUUUGCCAUGCCUCUGGCACUACCUGUUUUUUCUCCUAUGUGUGUUCCUUGGAUAGCUCAUGAACUCCAUGACUGGAGCUGUGGAGUUACUUAGCACCCAGCUUGCUUUCUCUUAUGGACGGCCUGACUCUUGUUGCUCCUUUGACGUAAGGGCAGAGCUGCCUACACUAGAGGAAUUUCCAUCAAGGAGAGAGCAAGGAAUAAAGACCAUCCUUGCUGUCUGCAGUGAAGAAGAGAUGUAUUCAGUAGUAUUCAUCCCAGAAGAUGAACAGAAGGAAAUCAUGGAACUACGUGUGGCUUUCUCACCUCUCAGGGGACUCCACCAGGGAAUGAUCUGUCUCACAGACUUGAAUCCUCACAGUUUUCCCUGGUUUCCUGAAGAUGCAGUGUUUGCAGCAGUGUUUUGGAGUUAGGAAAUAACAGGUUGAACGCACCUGCACUAUGUGUAAGCCAAAAUAGAAUAUUUCUAUACA